Non-coding RNA from Dermacentor albipictus, 637 nucleotides. The record is from RefSeq and is a predicted model, not a curated record. NCBI's taxonomy places the organism in Eukaryota, Metazoa, Arthropoda, Arachnida, Ixodida, Ixodidae.
ACAAGGCCAGGCGCACGCAAGCCUACUUCGCCUGCUUUCUGUGGUGGUUCCGGUUGUGUGAGCAGCAAUGGCUUAGUCGCGGGUUUAAUCAUUUUCAGCGUUUUUCGCUGCUGCAACGUCCAUCUGUGCAGCCUUGUGGAUUCUCCGGCUCCUGUCAAUGAAUUGCACGAAUCCACCCAACGCCGUCUGCUUGCCGUCUGCGUUCUGCAUUGCUGACGUCUCUCGCUGAGUGCUUCGACCACUACGUUCUCGCCGCUAAAGGAUCUCGUUAGUUGGACGUGGCUGGAACUCCUGGCUUAGCCUUCCACACCUGGCAACGUCGGAUCGAUGGUGUUUUCAGAUCAGGUGGCCACGAAGGGUGAAGAAAUGACAGCGAUAUCGCAAGUACGCGCAGCCUGUGCUGCGGCGCAGCGUAAACAACACCCCGGAGGCUAGCAGGCGUCAUAGGUAUGUUCGACACGACGGUGAGUGCGUACCAGGCUGAACAGCUCUGUUAAAAGCUCUGGAGGAUUGGUGUGCGCCCCUUGCCUUUGUUUCAAGGUGAGCAGACGUGCUAAAGUGGCGCGAGCGCCACUGAGUGGUAAAGACGCGGAUUGAGCACGGCUAUGUCAGCUGGUAUACCGUCCAGGUGAAAGGA